AUCACGGGAGCAGGUUGGGUUGCGGGAACAGACUGCUCAUUGCGCAGUACAUGCGAAUGCGAGGCUUAGGCUUGGGCCCAUGCAAGCUUGGAUGGCAUGGCUUGGGCCAUGAUGGAACUUUGUAGUGGUGGUGCCACUCUGCUUACGACCGCAUUUUACCUCAUAGAUCUCUGGGAUCCCAUUUCUUGAGUAUUGGAAAUUUCACUUAUGGAAUUUUCUAAAUUUCUAGUCAUUAUAUUUUUCUUAUACGUUUUAUUGAAGAACCUUUGCAAAUAAAAAAUUCUAAUAAUAAGAACGUAUGAAAAAUAUUCAAAUGGACUAGAAAAUAGAGAAAAACCUUUUUAUACGAGAGUCUUCUACGAGUAUAGAUUUCAACUCUCAAUGAAAGCACCAAUUUGUGGAAGCAAUUUUCUUCCUCCUUGAUCUUCGACAAGAUUGCACCUACAAAAAAAUUUACACCUUAGGUCAAGGCCAAGAGCCUCACGUGCCCACAAUGAAUGAGGGGGCUUUGGCCGAAGAACAUUCGAUGCCGAAGUUAGAAUUUAGAGAGAAAGUGUUUGAGAAUUUUGGAGAAUUUUAGCAAGAGAAUGAGAGGUGUCUUUUGGAGAAGAAAAUAGGGCUUUUAUAGGGGAGUGUGGCCGGCUUUUAAUUGUUUUUUGGGGUGUUAUUUGGUGAUUCAAUUAGCAAUUAAUAUAUUAAUUAGGUAUAAAUAUAUUAAUUGGCUAAUUAUCAUAAUAAAAGAAAUGUUUUGGGAGGUUAUGGGAGGUUAUGUAAUGAUUUCUUUGUAGAGGAUAUGGAGUAAAGAUGGAUGAGAUAAAUUUGAACUUGUUACUUAUUUUAGGCACUCUUGACUCGAUUGAUGAAUGAUUCUCCACUGCUCGUGUCUAGGAAACCCGAUGUGUCUCGAGGCCAAUUUUGUCAUCUUCACCUAAAAAUCCACUUGUCGCCUCUUGAUUAUUUUUGGCUCCACAAUAGCUUUUGGAAACUCUUAUUUGUUUAAUGGAAGGGCAAAGCUUAAUGUUAAUCAUUAUUUAUUGUAUGAGCAACAAAGGAAUCCAAGGAAUGUAUUCGAUCUAAGAGAGAAGUGAUCUAAGUUAGAUUAACGAGACCUUUUCUCUUAUGUGCAUUCUUAAAAAGUUCCUGACCAUAGGAUUGCCAAUAGGACAUUGAAAAUCCGCUAAGGUUAGUAUGUGUUAUGUUAACUCAUGCGGGAGUAUGACUAGUCUUAAGUCAUUUAUUGUUGGACACUGAGACAAACACAUAGGUGCUUGAAAGGUUAAUUGAGUACACUGAACAAUGAUAAAAAAAAUGAGUUCUAACAUACAUGUCGUGUAAGAACUCAUAAGUUGCAAUAUGCAAAGUAGUCAUUUGACCUGAGGCCUUAUAGUUAUCUAAUGGUUAAGUCCUCGAUCUUUGACUAUGUCAAAGGCAUUCGAUUGAGAGUGUCCACGACAUUGUUGAGGUCAAGCUAUCUAGUCAUGUAGACAUGUGGACUAGGCCUGGCAAUUCCUGACACGACCCGAUAA
This 1526-nucleotide long non-coding RNA is filed under the name Malus domestica (apple). RNAcentral's name for it is "long non-coding RNA (MDOM_LNC015658)". Lineage: Eukaryota; Viridiplantae; Streptophyta; Magnoliopsida; Rosales; Rosaceae. The record is from RNAcentral.